GGACCGUUGGUGUAGUUGGUUAUCACGAUCGCCUCACAGAUCUCCAAUAUCUUGGAGAAACAGACGCGAUAGGUCGCGAGUUCGAGCCUCGCAUGGUUCA
This 100-nucleotide transfer RNA is filed under the name Botrytis cinerea. Its description in RNAcentral is "tRNA-Val". It matches the Rfam family "tRNA". From Rfam's summary of the family: Transfer RNA (tRNA) molecules are approximately 80 nucleotides in length. Their secondary structure includes four short double-helical elements and three loops (D, anti-codon, and T loops). Further hydrogen bonds mediate the characteristic L-shaped molecular structure. tRNAs have two regions of fundamental functional importance: the anti-codon, which is responsible for specific mRNA codon recognition, and the 3' end, to which the tRNAs corresponding amino acid is attached (by aminoacyl-tRNA synthetases). tRNAs cope with the degeneracy of the genetic code in two manners: having more than one tRNA (with a specific anti-codon) for a particular amino acid; and 'wobble' base-pairing, i.e. permitting non-standard base-pairing at the 3rd anti-codon position. Lineage: Eukaryota; Fungi; Ascomycota; Leotiomycetes; Helotiales; Sclerotiniaceae. The record is from RNAcentral. RNAcentral also lists the same sequence under 1 other name.